RNAcentral lists this ribosomal RNA (484 nucleotides) under uncultured bacterium. Its description in RNAcentral is "partial 16S ribosomal RNA". It matches the Rfam family "Bacterial small subunit ribosomal RNA", at positions 30 to 507 of the family's 1533-position model. The record is from RNAcentral.
AUUGAACGCUGGCGGCAGGCCUAACACAUGCAAGUCGAGCGGAUGACGGGAGCUUGCUCCUUGAUUCAGCGGCGGACGGGUGAGUAAUGCCUAGGAAUCUGCCUGGUAGUGGGGGACAACGUUUCGAAAGGAACGCUAAUACCGCAUACGUCCUACGGGUGAAAGCAGGGGACCUUCGGGCCUUGCGCUAUCAGAUGAGCCUAGGUCGUAUUGGCUUGUUGGUGAGGUAAUGGCUCACCAAGGCGACGAUCCGUAACUGGUCUGCGAGGAUGAUCAGUCACCCUGGAACUGGGACACGUUCCAGACUCCUACGGGAGGCAGCAGUGGGGAAUAUUGGACAAUGGGCGAAAGCCUAAUCCAGCCAUGCCGCUUGUGUGAAGAAGGUCUUCGGAUUUUAAAGCACUUUAAGUUGGGAGGAAGAGUUGUAGAUUAAUACUCUGCAAUUUUAACGUUACCGACAGAAUAGGCACCGGCUAACUCGGUG